RNAcentral lists this ribosomal RNA (363 nucleotides) under Leclercia sp. SB23. RNAcentral describes it as "bacterial SSU rRNA". It matches the Rfam family "Bacterial small subunit ribosomal RNA", at positions 1007 to 1370 of the family's 1533-position model. Lineage: Bacteria; Pseudomonadati; Pseudomonadota; Gammaproteobacteria; Enterobacterales; Enterobacteriaceae. The record is from RNAcentral.
UGCUUUGGUGCCUUCGGGAACUCUGAGACAGGUGCUGCAUGGCUGUCGUCAGCUCGUGUUGUGAAAUGUUGGGUUAAGUCCCGCAACGAGCGCAACCCUUAUCCUUUGUUGCCAGCGGUUCGGCCGGGAACUCAAAGGAGACUGCCAGUGAUAAACUGGAGGAAGGUGGGGAUGACGUCAAGUCAUCAUGGCCCUUACGAGUAGGGCUACACACGUGCUACAAUGGCGCAUACAAAGAGAAGCGACCUCGCGAGAGCAAGCGGACCUCAUAAAGUGCGUCGUAGUCCGGAUUGGAGUCUGCAACUCGACUCCAUGAAGUCGGAAUCGCUAGUAAUCGUAGAUCAGAAUGCUACGGUGAAUACG